AGCUUGGAAGCAGCUAUUCAUUCAAAGAGUGCGUAACAGCUCACUGGUCGAGCGGAGCCGCGUGGAUGAUGAUCGGGCAUCAAGACCGUCGCCGAAGCCGAGGACGACGCGCCUUAGCGCGCGCCGUGGUAGGGGAGCAUUCCGGUCGGCGCCGAAGGCGCGGCGCGAGCCGUGCUGGAGCGUCCGGAAAAGAAAAUGUAGGCAUGAGUAACGACAAGAGAUGUGUGAACAUCUCCGCCGAAAACCCAAGGUUUCCGGGGCCACGCUAAACGGCCCCGGGUCAGCCGGGAGCUAAGGGUAAGCCGAACGGUGAUCCCGAUGCCGAUGCGGUCAACAUUCCGCAGCCGGCGCGCCAGGCGCACACGUGACCGAGGAGUGACACUGCCGCGGGGAGACGGAAUUCCCCGUUGAAGGCCGUAGGGAGACCGAAAGCCGACAGUACGGCGAGCCUUCGGGCGAGCCGACAGAGCAGGUAACCAUACUCGCGAGAAAAGCGUGUGCGCGCCAAGCGUCGCGCCGCCCGUACCGUAAACCGACACAGGUGGGUGGGGAGAGAAUCCUUAGGCGCUCGAGUGAAUCACGGCCAAGGAACUAGGCAAAUUGACCCCGUAACUUCGGGAUAAGGGGUCCCGCGGCGACGCGGGCGCAGAGAAAUGGCCCAGGCGACUGUUUACCAAAAACAUAUGGCUAUGCGAAAUCGAUAAGAUGACGAAUAUGGCCUGACACCUGCCCGGUGCCGGAAGGUUAAGAGGGGGGGUCACCGAAAGGGAAGCCCUGAAUUGAAGCCCCGGUAAACGGCGGCCGUAACUAUAACGGUCCUAAGGUAGCGAAAUUCCUUGUCGGGUAAGUUCCGACCUGCACGAAUGGUGUAACGAUCUGGGCGCUGUCUCAGCCGUGAGCUCGGUGAAAUUGUAGUGGCGGUGAAGAUGCCGCCUACCCGCAACGGGACGAAAAGACCCCGUGAACCUUUACUAUAGCUUAGCGCUGAUCUUGGACGUCGGAUGUGUAGCAUAGGUGGGAGGCUUCGAGGCGCGGCCGCCAGGUCGCGAUUAGCCGCCAAGUGAAAUACCACCCUUCCGUCGUCUGGGGUCUAACUUCGCGAGAAGGACACCGCUUGGUGGGUAGUUUGACUGGGGUGGUCGCCUCCAAAAGAGUAACGGAGGCUUCCCAAGGUCCGCUCAGGACGAAUGGCAACCGUCCGCAGAGUGCAGUGGCAAAAGCGGGCUUGACUGGGAGACAAACAGGUCGAGCAGGUACGAAAGUAGGGCAAAGUGAUCCGGCGGUUCCUCAUGGGAGGGCCGUCGCUCAUAGGACAAAAGGUACUCCGGGGAUAACAGGCUGAUCGCUCCCAAGAGCUCA
Molecule: ribosomal RNA, 1359 nt
Filed under: human gut metagenome
Description: bacterial LSU rRNA
Rfam family: Bacterial large subunit ribosomal RNA
Source: RNAcentral